UAAUUCACGCAGGAUAAACCAAUAGCACGAUUCGUAGACUACCACAAACGUGAAUUGGAAAAGAAAAGACAAGAAAAAGAAAGGCAAUUACUCAAUGAAAACAGAAUUGAUAACAUCAGAGAUCCAAUAUUCAAGAAAGAUAUGAAAAAGUUAUACAAGAAAUUUUCAACAAAUGGACUCACGUUAGAGUUUUUCGAAAUACCACGUCUAAAGGAGAAGGCUAGGGAGG
Helicoverpa armigera (cotton bollworm) is the source of this 229-nucleotide long non-coding RNA. RefSeq lists it as uncharacterized. The transcript is spliced from 6 exons. The record is from RefSeq and is a predicted model, not a curated record. Lineage: Eukaryota; Metazoa; Arthropoda; Insecta; Lepidoptera; Noctuidae.